AUACUUACCUGAUAGGAGAGAUACCGCGGUCAGUUAUUUACGGCGGUAUUCUCAGGGCGAAGCCUACCCAUUGCACUACAGGGGAGAAAGGUUGACCCUUGCAAUUUUCCCAAAUGUGCGAAACUCGACUGUACAAUUUGAGGUGC
This 146-nucleotide small nuclear RNA is filed under the name Eptatretus burgeri (inshore hagfish). RNAcentral's name for it is "U1 spliceosomal RNA (ENSEBUG00000000064.1)". It matches the Rfam family "U1 spliceosomal RNA". From Rfam's summary of the family: U1 is a small nuclear RNA (snRNA) component of the spliceosome (involved in pre-mRNA splicing). Its 5' end forms complementary base pairs with the 5' splice junction, thus defining the 5' donor site of an intron. Lineage: Eukaryota; Metazoa; Chordata; Myxini; Myxiniformes; Myxinidae. The record is from Rfam by way of RNAcentral.